AAUUGGAGGGCAAGUCUGGUGCCAGCAGCCGCGGUAAUUCCAGCUCCAAUAGCGUAUAUUAAAGUUGUUGCAGUUAAAAAGCUCGUAGUUGAAUUUCGGGAUUGACGUGAUGGUCGUGCCUUACGGGGUAUGAACUGUUGCUGUUGAUUUCUCACCUUCUGGAGAAACUUGAUGUCCUUAAUUGGGUGUCUUGCGGAUCCAGGACCUUUACCUUGAAAAAAUUAGAGUGUUUAAAGCAGGCAUUUUGCUCGAAUACAUUAGCAUGGAAUAAUAGAAUAGGACGGCAUGGUUCUAUUUUGUUGGUUUCUAGGAUCACCGUAAUGAUUAAUAGGGAUAGUUGGGGGCAUUAGUAUUCAAUUGUCAGAGGUGAAAUUCUUGGAUUUAUUGAAGACUAACUACUGCGAAAGCAUUUGCCAAGGAUGUUUUCAUUAAUCAAGAACGAAAGUUAGGGGAUCGAAGACGAUCAGAUACCGUCGUAGUCUUAACCAUAAACUAUGCCGACUAGGAAUCAGACGAUGUUAAUUUUUUAAUGACUCGUUUGGCACCUUACGGGAAACCAAAGUGU
Molecule: ribosomal RNA, 565 nt
Filed under: uncultured Glomus
Lineage: Eukaryota; Fungi; Glomeromycota; Glomeromycetes; Glomerales; Glomeraceae
Description: SSU rRNA
Rfam family: Eukaryotic small subunit ribosomal RNA
Source: RNAcentral